UGGGUUUUCACGUUAUUUAGUUUAGGUUUAGUUCAGCACAGCAGUAAGCGGACCCGGAAGACUCACAACAAACCAUGUUUUUUAAUAACACAUUUUUUAUUU
Alosa sapidissima (American shad) is the source of this 102-nucleotide long non-coding RNA. RefSeq lists it as uncharacterized. The transcript has 3 exons. The record is from RefSeq and is a predicted model, not a curated record. Lineage: Eukaryota; Metazoa; Chordata; Actinopteri; Clupeiformes; Clupeidae.